CAGAGACAGUGUUGUAAAUAAUGAUACUGAAAGGGGAACCUUGUAAUGUUACCAGUCCAUUCUAAGAAAAAGAAGAAUGUGAGGUUGUAGAGCAAGAAAAAACAGCUAUCACCGAGGAAAUACUGCCACACAUUGUAGAAUGAAGACUAUUACUAAAGAACAUAAUAUGUAAAACAGCAACACACAGCAAAACCACCAAACAGAACUCGCACCUAAGCCCUUGGCAUGAAUAAACUUAGGGCCUGCACACUCUUGAGUGCAGGAAGCCUCAUCUCAUUUGAAAAAGGCACCUCCUGCUGAGUCAGUCUGUUAACACAACAUAGCUGAAAAGUCCACAGCCUUGUGUGCUUCUACCCUCUCCGGAUACCAACGAACCUGGUAUGACCAAGCAGGCAGGUCACUUGUUGAAAUCUCCGCUUCAAAACAUCUACAGGUUCUGUUGUCAAGGAUCUUAACAGCCUCUGCUUGGAAAGUCCAGCCUCUCUUCACUUCUGGGAAAUCUUAAGAAAACACAGAAGCAUUGUCGAACUCAAAAGUGGAAGUCGAGGAUUUGAAAUGUGAUGGUACAUCCUGUUCCCCCCACAACCCUCCCACCCCCGAAGAAGCAGCAGGAUUAGAAGAAACUUCUU
This is a non-coding RNA of Peromyscus maniculatus bairdii (prairie deer mouse), 629 nucleotides long. The record is from RefSeq and is a predicted model, not a curated record. NCBI's taxonomy places the organism in Eukaryota, Metazoa, Chordata, Mammalia, Rodentia, Cricetidae.